GCCCACGUAACUCAGUGGUAGAGUACCUCCUUGGUAAGGAGGAAGUCACCGGUUCAAGUCCGGUCGUGGGCUCCA
This 75-nucleotide transfer RNA is filed under the name Desulfobulbus propionicus. RNAcentral's name for it is "tRNA-Thr". It matches the Rfam family "tRNA". From Rfam's summary of the family: Transfer RNA (tRNA) molecules are approximately 80 nucleotides in length. Their secondary structure includes four short double-helical elements and three loops (D, anti-codon, and T loops). Further hydrogen bonds mediate the characteristic L-shaped molecular structure. tRNAs have two regions of fundamental functional importance: the anti-codon, which is responsible for specific mRNA codon recognition, and the 3' end, to which the tRNAs corresponding amino acid is attached (by aminoacyl-tRNA synthetases). tRNAs cope with the degeneracy of the genetic code in two manners: having more than one tRNA (with a specific anti-codon) for a particular amino acid; and 'wobble' base-pairing, i.e. permitting non-standard base-pairing at the 3rd anti-codon position. The record is from RNAcentral. Lineage: Bacteria; Pseudomonadati; Thermodesulfobacteriota; Desulfobulbia; Desulfobulbales; Desulfobulbaceae. RNAcentral also lists the same sequence under 29 other names.